RNAcentral lists this ribosomal RNA (875 nucleotides) under Penicillium ochrochloron. RNAcentral describes it as "LSU rRNA". It matches the Rfam family "Eukaryotic large subunit ribosomal RNA", at positions 75 to 966 of the family's 3401-position model. The record is from RNAcentral. Lineage: Eukaryota; Fungi; Ascomycota; Eurotiomycetes; Eurotiales; Aspergillaceae.
UUGCCUCAGUAACGGCGAGUGAAGCGGCAAGAGCUCAAAUUUGAAAGCUGGCCCCUUCGGGGUCCGCAUUGUAAUUUGCAGAGGAUGCUUCGGGAGCGGCCCCCAUCUAAGUGCCCUGGAACGGGCCGUCAUAGAGGGUGAGAAUCCCGUCUGGGAUGGGGUGCCCGCGCCCGUGUGAAGCUCCUUCGACGAGUCGAGUUGUUUGGGAAUGCAGCUCUAAAUGGGUGGUAAAUUUCAUCUAAAGCUAAAUACUGGCCGGAGACCGAUAGCGCACAAGUAGAGUGAUCGAAAGAUGAAAAGCACUUUGAAAAGAGAGUUAAACAGCACGUGAAAUUGUUGAAAGGGAAGCGCUUGCGACCAGACUCGCUCGCGGGGUUCAGCCGGCCUUCGGGCCGGUGUACUUCCCCGCGGGCGGGCCAGCGUCGGUUUGGGCGGCCGGUCAAAGGCCCUCGGAAUGUAACGCCCCCCGGGGCGUCUUAUAGCCGAGGGUGCCAUGCGGCCAGCCCGGACCGAGGAACGCGCUUCGGCUCGGACGCUGGCAUAAUGGUCGUAAGCGACCCGUCUUGAAACACGGACCAAGGAGUCUAACAUCUACGCGAGUGUUCGGGUGUCAAACCCGUGCGCGCAGUGAAAGCGAACGGAGGUGGGAACCCCUCGGGGUGCACCAUCGACCGAUCCUGAUGUCUUCGGAUGGAUUUGAGUAAGAGCGUAGCUGUUGGGACCCGAAAGAUGGUGAACUAUGCCUGAAUAGGGCGAAGCCAGAGGAAACUCUGGUGGAGGCUCGCAGCGGUUCUGACGUGCAAAUCGAUCGUCAAAUUUGGGUAUAGGGGGCGAAAGACUAAUCGAACCAUCUAGUAGCUGGUUUCCUGCCGAAG